AGUGAACGCUGGCGGUAGGCCUAACACAUGCAAGUCGAACGGCAGCACAGGAGAGCUUGCUCUCUAGGUGGCGAGUGGCGGACGGGUGAGGAAUACAUCGGAAUCUGCCCAGUCGUGGGGGAUAACGUAGGGAAACUUACGCUAAUACCGCAUACGACCUUCGGGUGAAAGAGGGGGAUCGCAAGACCUCUCGCGAUUGGAUGAGCCGAUGUCGGAUUAGCUAGUUAGCGGGGUAAUGGCCCACCAAGGCGACGGUCCGUAGCUGGUCUGAGAGGAUGAUCAGCCACACUGGAACUGAGACACGGUCCAGACUCCUACGGGAGGCAGCAGUGGGGAAUAUUGGACAAUGGGCGCAAGCCUGAUCCAGCCAUACCGCGUGGGUGAAGAAGGCCUUCGGGUUGUAAAGCCCUUUUGUUGGGAAAGAAAUCUUUCAGGCUAAUACCCUGGGAGGAUGACGGUACCCAAAGAAUAAGCACCGGCUAACUUCGUG
Molecule: ribosomal RNA, 490 nt
Filed under: uncultured bacterium
Lineage: Bacteria
Description: partial 16S ribosomal RNA
Rfam family: Bacterial small subunit ribosomal RNA
Source: RNAcentral